RNAcentral lists this ribosomal RNA (485 nucleotides) under uncultured bacterium. RNAcentral describes it as "bacterial SSU rRNA". It matches the Rfam family "Bacterial small subunit ribosomal RNA", at positions 30 to 507 of the family's 1533-position model. The record is from RNAcentral.
AUUGAACGCUGGCGGCAUGCUUUACACAUGCAAGUCGAACGGCAGCACGGGUGCUUGCACCUGGUGGCGAGUGGCGGACGGGUGAGUAAUGCAUCGGAACGUGUCCUGAAGUGGGGGAUAACGCAUCGAAAGAUGUGCUAAUACCGCAUAUUCUCUGAGGAGGAAAGUAGGGGAUCGAAAGACCUUAUGCUUUUGGAGCGGCCGAUGUCUGAUUAGCUAGUUGGUAGGGUAAUGGCUUACCAAGGCGACGAUCAGUAGUUGGUCUGAGAGGACGACCAGCCACACUGGGACUGAGACACGGCCCAGACUCCUACGGGAGGCAGCAGUGGGAAUUUUGGACAAUGGGCGCAAGCCUGAUCCAGCAAUGCCGCGUGAGUGAAGAAGGCCUUCGGGUUGUAAAGCUCUUUCAGUUGAGAAGAAAAAGUCGUGACUAAUAAUCAUGAUUCAUGACGGUAUCAACAGAAGAAGCACCGGCUAACUACGUG